AUUGAACGCUGGCGGCAUGCUUUACACAUGCAAGUCGGACGGCAGCAUAAAAGAGCUUGCUCUUUUGAUGGCGAGUGGCGAACGGGUGAGUAAUGCAUCGGAACGUACCGAGUAGUGGGGGAUAACUGUCCGAAAGGAUGGCUAAUACCGCAUAUUCUCUGAGGAGGAAAGCAGGGGACCUUAGGGCCUUGCGCUAUUUGAGCGGCCGAUGUCUGAUUAGCUAGUUGGUGGGGUAAGAGCCCACCAAGGCGACGAUCAGUAGCGGGUCUGAGAGGAUGAUCCGCCACACUGGGACUGAGACACGGCCCAGACUCCUACGGGAGGCAGCAGUGGGGAAUCUUGGACAAUGGGCGCAAGCCUGAUCCAGCCAUGCCGCGUGUAUGAAGAAGGCCUUCGGGUUGUAAAGUACUUUUGUCAGGUAAGAAAAGCCUGAGGAUAACACCCUCAGGUCAUGACGGUACCUGAAGAAUAAUCACCGGCUAACUACGUGUCUGCAGCCGCGGUAAUACGUAGGGUGCGAGCGUUAAUCGGAAUUACUGGGGGCGUAAAGCGAGCGCAGACGGUUAUUUAAUCAAGAUGUGAAAGCCCCGGGCUCAACCUGGGAACUGCGUUUUGAACUGUGUAACUAGAGUGGUGUCAGAUGGGGGGUAUAAUUCCACGUGUUUGCAGUAAAUGCUGAUUGAUGUGGGAGUGAAUACCUGAUUGUUGAUGUUUUCUUUUUUUUUUUUUUUUUGUGUUGGUGUUGGUGUGGAUGGAGUGAGAAAUUGAUUUUGUGAGUGAUGUUCUGUUUUUGAGAGCCAUGGGGGGUGUGGGCGGUGGUGAGGCGGUGUGCGCGGUAGAUUGAGAAAAAAAACAAUAUUUUUUUGAUUUUUUGGGUGGAUUUUAGAUCUUGGGUUGGUGUAUAAUUGCUGGUGUUGCCGUGUGUGUGUGGCAUAGCGUACUGGACUGUGUGAGCUAUUGAUGUGGUGUGUGUGUGUCUGUGUGUGUUUGCGCAUGGUGUGAGUGACUUGUGCUGUAUGUGUGUGAUGCUGUGUGUGUGGUUUUCUUAGGAUUUGUUGGUGGAUUGUGUGUGUGUGUUGUGGUGUGGUGCU
This 1091-nucleotide ribosomal RNA is filed under the name uncultured Streptococcus sp. RNAcentral's name for it is "partial 16S ribosomal RNA". The stretch from base 1 to 720 matches the Rfam family "Bacterial small subunit ribosomal RNA". Lineage: Bacteria; Bacillati; Bacillota; Bacilli; Lactobacillales; Streptococcaceae. The record is from RNAcentral.